UUUCCUGCAUGCCUAAGGCACAAGUAUCAAAAUGUUGCUGGUAAAUCAUCUCAGGUGGACUUUAAUCUGCAGAUAGACACCACAGGUGGAACAAGGCAGCUCCUGCCUGCAGAGCAGGAGGCCUUUCUGUUGUUCCUGUAAUGCAGCUGUGAGCUCUAAUAAGCUCAGAGUAAAACCCGCCUCCCAGGUUCAGGGGUUCAGGUUUAUCAGUGGUGAAAGUGGCUUACUAGCUGCUUCCUAUCUCCUUGCUUCUGUGUGGUGGAGCUGAACUGGAGCUGCCCAGCCUGUUAUAGAAUCCAUAGGCAUCAAGGCAAAGUGGAAUCCUUGUGGCUCAGGCACAUCAUUUUCUAUAAUUAAGUCACAAUGGACUUUUGGAGAGCUCUGCUGAAUGAUUGAGAGCCUGUGCACAGCUGGGCCUACUAACAAACUCUGCGCUAGUCUAAGCGAAACUGUAAAACCAGUGGACAUCCAGGAAAUCCAUUCUGUGCACAGCUCAUUUUCCCUCCUGAAGCUGAUGGAGUACGUGCCACCCAGGUACCUCCCCAGCAGAUGAUGUAGCAGUGCACAACAAAGACUUCACACCACUGAGUGGAAAUGGAACUCUUGCAAUAUAAUCUGAUCACUUCCUAUGGACAAUCCAUAUAUGGAGCAGGCUGAAAGGGCCUCUGAGCACCCUGAUAUAUCUGUAGGUGUCUGCAUUCAUUGCAGGGGACUUAGACUAAAUGGUCUUUUAAGAUCUCUUGUAACUCAAAUGAUUCUGUGAAUGUGAGAUUUGGCCCUAAUUUUCGAAGGUCACAUUCCUAUCUUGCUUUGUAAAGAUCAAUUCCACAUUGUCCCUCACUACCUGAAAUCUUCAACGAGAAAUUCUAUAAUGCUUAUUUUAAAAUUAAUCUCCUGGCCAUCCUUUAGAUUGACAUCUUUAUAUUUGUGCUGUAGGAUGGUUUGAAACUGGGUUAUUUCCUUUUGCACUCUGGAAUCAAUUAAGGAAAAAAAAAAAAACCCACACACAAAACUGAUUAAUAUUCCAGGCCAUCCAUUCUUAUAGUUUCAAAAACCCUUUGCACACAAAUUCAUGCUUGGUGUGUCCCAGGAAGCGUUUUGUUCUGCUUGCUGGAGGCCUUAUGUGUAGAUCAUAUUUCUCUCCCAAAGCAAAGUAUGAUUUUAUUUUUCUUAGGCAUUGUUAAGGAGUAUUUAUUGUUCUCCUGGAGAAAAGGGGGAAUUUAAAGAGAGUAUCCUGGAAAAAACUCUAUCGUUAAACUAAAGCUGUUGUGCAUUACAAUGAAAUGCUGUACCUGUGAAAGUAUGUGACAUUCAAUAUCCAGCAAAUUCAUUGUUAUUACUGUACAUUGAAUGUCAGAUGAAUUCAUAACGGUGGUAUAUUGAAGGUAAGAUAUUAUCCCAGAUUCAAACAAUGUGGUUCUACUGACAACUCACGCUAGCCUUCAGGGCAGCGGAUGGCACUUUCAGAGCUCGUUGGAAAGGAUUUUUUAGUGCUCCUGUUACCUCACUUAUAAAAACAAAUGGCAUAGGAAUGGAAGGGUGAUCCAAAGCCGCAUGAGGUCAGUGUGGGUUUUUCCUUUGACAUCAAUGGGCUGAGGAUCGAGUCCGCAGGGUGGAGAGGGGAGGAAGGAAGGAAACAAUGUUAGAAGAGAAAUCAGUGAAGAAAAACUCUCCAUUACACUUCCCUUGGGUAUUUUUUCGUAAUAGCUUUCCGGCUGGAUUUAGCACUCUGCCGAGUGGAGAGAAAAACACAACAGCAGCUUGCUACUGCAGGAAAAGGGCAGAAUGAAGUUAAAAACAAUUCCUUAGCACUAUUAGAUUGGUUUAAUGCAAUCUCUGUUUCCUUUUAUUUGCUUAUGCCCGUGAAGAUGGAAAUGGUCAGGCCACUGGGAAGGGGAUAACGUGGUGGUGUGUAUGGGCAGAGCCCCACUAGAGCAGCUACACCCAUGGGAAGGACCAUAUCUGCAGCACCUCCACAGUGACAAGAGAGGAAUGUAAUAUGUACAGAGUACGUGGCAGGGGCUGUGCAAGGCAUUAGCUCUGAGAGUGAAACAGUUUAGAAUAAAGCCUAUUUCUUUUUUUCA
This 2084-nucleotide long non-coding RNA is filed under the name Phasianus colchicus (ring-necked pheasant). Its description in RNAcentral is "lncRNA (ENSPCLG00000005228.1)". Lineage: Eukaryota; Metazoa; Chordata; Aves; Galliformes; Phasianidae. The record is from RNAcentral.